UCUUACACAGGCAACAAAAUAAGAUAAGGAUAAGAAGAAUAAGCCAAUAUAGUUGAAAAGAGUUGUCUUCACUGUCCACACCAUACAGUUUGCCUUAUCAUAUUAGCUAUCUUACAAACAAAAUAAGAUAAGAAAAAGAUGAAUAAGCCAAUAUAAUUGAAAAGAGUUGUCUUCACUGUCCACACCAUACAGUUUGCCUUAUCAUAUUAGCUAUCUUACAAACAAAAUAAGAUAAGAAAAAGAUGAAUAAGCCAAUAUAA
This 260-nucleotide unclassified non-coding RNA is filed under the name Hevea brasiliensis (rubber tree). The record is from RNAcentral. Lineage: Eukaryota; Viridiplantae; Streptophyta; Magnoliopsida; Malpighiales; Euphorbiaceae.